GAGGAUAUAGCUCAAGUGGUAGAGCGCAUGCCUAGCUUGCACAGGGUCCUGGGUUCAAUCCCCAGUACCUCCU
RNAcentral lists this transfer RNA (73 nucleotides) under Camelus bactrianus (Bactrian camel). It matches the Rfam family "tRNA". Rfam says of the family: Transfer RNA (tRNA) molecules are approximately 80 nucleotides in length. Their secondary structure includes four short double-helical elements and three loops (D, anti-codon, and T loops). The record is from Rfam by way of RNAcentral. Lineage: Eukaryota; Metazoa; Chordata; Mammalia; Artiodactyla; Camelidae. RNAcentral also lists the same sequence under 1 other name.